UAACGAAGUUUGGUGAGGGCAAAAAUCUAAAUAAAUGAAAACAGAGGCAUCAGUAUUAUUUUAUGUAAACCAAUAAACUAGAAUUUUGAUAGUAUAUGGAAGAAUAAAGAUGAUUCAAGAUUUUUUACUCAACCUCCAGUGUAAUUUGAACCCUUAAUGUAAUUUACUCUCUACUUAACACAUUUUUGUUCUUCAAUGCGAUGUGCUAUAGUGCAAGACAUAUUGAACCAAACAGAAUGGAAGUUGUGUUCAAAUUCUUUUUUAAUUACUAAUCUCUUUUUCAUUUGCAUACCUAAUGAUAAAAUAAUUUUGAGUUUUAUGAAAGUCUGAACUUUCAUUAAAAAACACUGUCUACUGCUUUAACAAAAAUAUUUGAAUUAUACGGUCGAAGUGAAGAUCUCUAGGCUUUUAACUUCAAAACCUAUUUUAAAAAUAAAAGCGUUAUUUUAAGAAAUUAAAAAUAGUUCUAAAAGUAGCUCGUUCUUUUAACAUUAUACUAAAGUACCCAGCAGUAGAUAGUAUUUACUUAUACAAUCAACACAUUUAAUGAGA
Molecule: non-coding RNA, 552 nt
Organism: Schizosaccharomyces pombe (fission yeast)
Lineage: Eukaryota; Fungi; Ascomycota; Schizosaccharomycetes; Schizosaccharomycetales; Schizosaccharomycetaceae
Source: the annotation of a GenBank genome assembly